This 1171-nucleotide long non-coding RNA is filed under the name Anolis carolinensis (green anole). RNAcentral's name for it is "lncRNA (ENSACAG00000041752.1)". Lineage: Eukaryota; Metazoa; Chordata; Lepidosauria; Squamata; Anolidae. The record is from RNAcentral.
AAGAGAAAGUAAGUCAAAAUCUUUGUGUUAUGGAGUGGGGGGAUGAGGUGUGAAAGUGUAAGAUAAAGAAAUAAUUCUGUAGAGUGGGUGCCCUCUGGAAGAGAGAAACAGAAAGAGAUGGGGAACAAGGCAGUCUAUAUAUCCCAAAGGCACCAGAUCCUGUCUGAUCUUGGGAGCUAAGCAGGAUCAGGCCUGGUUACUACUUGGAAGUGAAACCGCCAAGGAAUGACUGGCGUGAUAAACUAGAAAGCCCCACUUCCACUAUCUUUAGGAUUGAUAUCGAGGAAUUUAUUAUUUAUUUACAGUAUUUAUAUUCCACCCUUCUCACCCCGAAGGGAACUCAGGGCGGAUCACAGAACAUAUAUAUGGCAAACAUUCAAUGCCAAUUAUACAAUGACAAGACAGACAACAGAGAGAGGUAUAUAUAUGCUUUCCCCCAUCUUUUUGGCAUCUUUGGGGACUGUGAUCGAUUCCAGCCACAGGAGGGUGCUGUCUCUCCAUCUCUUUGCUAAAGAGCUUUCUUUGUUCAUAAACUUUUCCCUCCUUUUUCUGAUUUAACCACCAUACCUAAAAUACCUCUCUGCUUUAAUGCGGUUCCUAUUUAUAUACUCACAUUGCUAUUUUCAAUCUGCUAGGUGGGCGGGGAGUUGGGCUGAAGGUCAGCAGCUCACCCUUACCCGGCUUCAAACUGUCAACCUUUUGGUUGGCAAGAUUUACUGCAGCUGCAGCUGGUGAUUAACCUGCUGUGCUAAAACUGGCCACAUUGGACAAAUUAUGUCCUUCCAAGCAUUUUCUAGAUCCUGCAUCAUGGCUCGUUGAUAUUCUUGGUCCAAAAACCCUUCAUUUCAAUGAGUUUGCUAUUAUCUAUAGUUUUGCAUAUCCAAAUGAAGUCCAAGAACACACCCUCUGUGGAUAUAAGAGUUGUCUUGGUCAUACCCUUCCGACUCAAGCCAACCCUGACCAGGACCACCUUCCACCUGGAAACCGAUGUCCUCACUGCAGAAGAACAGGCGGGUCAAGACUAGGUCUUUACAGCCACCUAUGCAUCCACCACCAAGAAACUACACUUGGAGAGCCAUCAUCCUCGGGCUACAAGGGAUUGCCUAAGUGAUGCUCUCUAAGCCAAGCAGAAUGAACACCUUAGAUGCUGGUACAAGCCUGGAGAUGUCGA